GGAUAUAGCUCAGUGGCACAGUGCCUGCUUGGUAAGCAUGAGGUCCUGAGUUCAAUUCUCAGUACCA
Molecule: non-coding RNA, 67 nt
Organism: Cavia porcellus (domestic guinea pig)
Lineage: Eukaryota; Metazoa; Chordata; Mammalia; Rodentia; Caviidae
Source: Rfam